GGCAGUUUCACCCAUCAAGUUUUAGCUCAUGAAAGUUUAAGCCGAGUGGAAAUGGUCACCAGGGGCAACACUUGCAAGCAUGCUGGAAUCUAUCUAAAUAUCAGGAUCUCAAUCAAUCUCUCCCCUGUGGGAAAGUUGCCUUGAAAUGGCAGCUUGGAGUGAGGCACACUUUAAAAAGGAACAAGAAAAACAGAUCUUCAAAACUGAAGCUGGUGAAGGAGAAUGAACAUCUCUGGUUCAGUGAAAGAAAGAAGGCUGAACAUCAGAUAGCUGGGUUUGUUCCCACAUUCCUGAAAAGUAGCAAGAUCUAAAUGGGUUUAUGCAGUGGGGCACAGAACUGGGUCAACUAAUUAGCCCCAUUUUCUGAGUACUGGUUUCUAUCAAUUGCACUACUGUACAGCUACAGUAAUGGUGAAGCUUUAAAUAUACAAGCGCAGAAAUACCUGCUCUUAAUGGCAAUUUAGAAUUAGCUAAGGAAAAUAAAUAAUUAAUCCUACUCUCUUGUAUCCAAGACACAGUU
Non-coding RNA from Notechis scutatus (mainland tiger snake), 520 nucleotides. The record is from RefSeq and is a predicted model, not a curated record. NCBI's taxonomy places the organism in Eukaryota, Metazoa, Chordata, Lepidosauria, Squamata, Elapidae.